GUCCCCAUCGUCUAGCCUGGUCUAGGACAUCGCCCUUUCACGGCGGAAACGGGGGUUCGAAUCCCCCUGGGGACGCCA
This 78-nucleotide transfer RNA is filed under the name Candidatus Babelota bacterium. RNAcentral's name for it is "tRNA-Glu". It matches the Rfam family "tRNA". From Rfam's summary of the family: Transfer RNA (tRNA) molecules are approximately 80 nucleotides in length. Their secondary structure includes four short double-helical elements and three loops (D, anti-codon, and T loops). Further hydrogen bonds mediate the characteristic L-shaped molecular structure. tRNAs have two regions of fundamental functional importance: the anti-codon, which is responsible for specific mRNA codon recognition, and the 3' end, to which the tRNAs corresponding amino acid is attached (by aminoacyl-tRNA synthetases). tRNAs cope with the degeneracy of the genetic code in two manners: having more than one tRNA (with a specific anti-codon) for a particular amino acid; and 'wobble' base-pairing, i.e. permitting non-standard base-pairing at the 3rd anti-codon position. The record is from RNAcentral.